GAUGAACGCUGGCGGCGUGCCUAAUACAUGCAAGUCGAGCGAACGGACGAGAAGCUUGCUUCUCUGAUGUUAGCGGCGGACGGGUGAGUAACACGUGGAUAACCUACCUAUAAGACUGGGAUAACUUCGGGAAACCGGAGCUAAUACCGGAUAAUAUUAUGAACCGCAUGGUUCAAAAGUGAAAGACGGUCUUGCUGUCACUUAUAGAUGGAUCCGCGCUGCAUUAGCUAGUUGGUAAGGUAACGGCUUACCAAGGCAACGAUGCAUAGCCGACCUGAGAGGGUGAUCGGCCACACUGGAACUGAGACACGGUCCAGACUCCUACGGGAGGCAGCAGUAGGGAAUCGUCCGCAAUGGGCGAAAGCCUGACGGAGCAACGCCGCGUGAGUGAUGAAGGUCUUCGGAUCGUAAAACUCUGUUAUUAGGGAAGAACAUAUGUGUAAGUAACUGUGCACAUCGUGACGGUACCUAAUCAGAAAGCCACGGCUAACUACGUG
RNAcentral lists this ribosomal RNA (497 nucleotides) under uncultured bacterium. RNAcentral describes it as "partial 16S ribosomal RNA". It matches the Rfam family "Bacterial small subunit ribosomal RNA", at positions 28 to 507 of the family's 1533-position model. The record is from RNAcentral.